AUACGGAGGGUGCGAGCGUUAAUCGGAAUUGCUGGGCGUAAAGCGUGCGUAGGCGGUUUGUUAAGUCAGAAGUGAAAGCCCUGGGCUCAACCUGGGAACGGCUUUUGAGACUGGCAGACUCGAGUUGAGUAGAGGGGAGUGGAAUUUCCGGUGUAGCGGUGAAAUGCGUAGAGAUCGGAAGGAACACCAGUGGCGAAGGCGACUCCCUGGACUCAAACUGACGCUGAGGUACGAAAGCGUGGGUAGCAAACAGGAUUAGAAACCCUAGUAGUCC
This 274-nucleotide ribosomal RNA is filed under the name uncultured bacterium. RNAcentral's name for it is "partial 16S ribosomal RNA". It matches the Rfam family "Bacterial small subunit ribosomal RNA", at positions 523 to 796 of the family's 1533-position model. The record is from RNAcentral.